This is a small nuclear RNA of 100 nucleotides. Its record names the gene U2. It matches the Rfam family "U2 spliceosomal RNA". Rfam says of the family: U2 is a small nuclear RNA (snRNA) component of the spliceosome (involved in pre-mRNA splicing). The record is from Ensembl.
AUCGCUUCUCAGGCUUUUGGCUAAGAUCAAGUGUGGUAUCUGUCCUUAUCAGUUUAAUGUCUGGGGCUUCCCUCAUAGCUCAGUUGGUAAAGAAUCCGCC